Molecule: ribosomal RNA, 253 nt
Filed under: uncultured bacterium
Lineage: Bacteria
Description: partial 16S ribosomal RNA
Rfam family: Bacterial small subunit ribosomal RNA
Source: RNAcentral
UACGUAGGGGGCUAGCGUUGUCCGGAAUCAUUGGGCGUAAAGCGCGUGUAGGCGGUCCGGUAAGUCCGCUGUGAAAGUCGGGGGCCCAACCCUCGGAUGCCGGUGGAUACUGUCGGGCUUGAGUACGGAAGAGGCGAGUGGAAUUCCUGGUGUAGCGGUGAAAUGCGCAGAUAUCAGGAGGAACACCAAUUGCGAAGGCAGCUCGCUGGGACGUUACUGACGCUGAGACGCGAAAGCGUGGGGAGCAAACAGG